This is a non-coding RNA of Drosophila melanogaster (fruit fly), 902 nucleotides long. The record is from Ensembl. Lineage: Eukaryota; Metazoa; Arthropoda; Insecta; Diptera; Drosophilidae.
UUUCGGAUAAGUAGGUGGUUGGUAAGAAAAGCUCUGAAAAACGAGCUGAAAUUUUUUUUUAUUUUUACAAUUUUUGUGUACAUUUUUUUGUAUGUCAUAUCGCACUUUUUGGUUCGGUCUCUGGAACGGUUCGCUGUCCCUGUCAUCGACGUUACAGUCACAGUCGCAGUUGCAGCUGCACUGGCUGCCUUGUCCGAAUGCAAUUAAAAUGUCAGCGAUGCAGAAAAGGGGGCUGCCCGGUGGCGGGAAAAAUGGCUGGCUAACAUGCGAGGAAAAAUGGCUCGUAAUGGAGUGCGAUAUACUCGUCCGCCCGCGGGACACGGACCAAACACGCAUUUGCCAUGCCAAAGGGACUGGACAGGACACUCGACUUGCAACGUUUUUUUCGAACUGGAGUAGAGUAGGAGCACCAGGAUCAGGACUGGAUUCGGGAAUACCGAAAGGAAGGGAAAGGGUCGACCAGCGGCCACGCCCAUACACGCCAUUAAGCGCACUUGUGAUGUACGUAAAUUAAUUUACUGUCGACCAUUUAUGUUCGCCGGCGAGCCAAUGAAGGCGCCACAACAUCAACGUCAACAUGGCCAACACAAAGAUGAAGAGCCAGGCGCGUUGUUAGCCAGCCUUAUUGACAGACAGAAAUGUGUACUCGUCGAAAAGAAAUGGGAGAAAGUUACACAAACCGCAAAAGUUUGCUAAUAAAUAAAAUUUAGCACCCAGUUGGUCAUAAAAACAUGCCCCAAAAGCGAGACAACCUACAUAAUUAUUGAUUCGACAGGCGGGAUAUAUGUAAGCAGAAUUUAUGAUUCAGCUUGAUAUAUGUUCCGGGAUUUUGAUUCCUCACUGCUAAGCUUAAAGUUGGCUAAAUGGAAAAUCACAGGGCAAUAAAUGCGGAAAGAGAGGAG